RNAcentral lists this non-coding RNA (73 nucleotides) under Cryobacterium arcticum. RNAcentral describes it as "Fluoride sequence". It matches the Rfam family "Fluoride riboswitch aptamer (crcB RNA motif)". The record is from RNAcentral. Lineage: Bacteria; Bacillati; Actinomycetota; Actinomycetes; Micrococcales; Microbacteriaceae.
CUUUUGCGUGGUGAUGGAUCCCACCAGAGCACCCGCUCGAACCGCCGAUUGCGCUGAUGGUUCCUACCGACUU